RNAcentral lists this long non-coding RNA (361 nucleotides) under Vigna radiata. RNAcentral describes it as "long non-coding RNA (VRAD_LNC011001)". The record is from RNAcentral. Lineage: Eukaryota; Viridiplantae; Streptophyta; Magnoliopsida; Fabales; Fabaceae.
AUAAUAAAAAUUUAUAAAGUAAAUAUGCUUUGGAAGAACUAAGUUUGACCACAAUAAAUGAAACAAAAGAAAAGAAAAAGUGCUUCAACAAAUAUUAGGAAAAGAAAAGGAAAAACAAAAAGUUUGAGAAAAGAAACAGUUCACUCAGAAACGACAAAAUAGAAAACAACGUAACGGGGUGGCCAUAUGCUUGAUACCGCAUUGGACGUUAUUCAAUAAUUAAGUUUCCUGCAAUACGACGUCGCGUGUUCACACUCCCACCACGUGUUUAUUGCGUGACACAUCACCCCACAGUUUUAAUGAAGAAACAAGUACCAUGUUCCACUCCAACAACAAAAAAUAAAACAAUAAAUAAAACAGU